ACUCCUACGGGAGGCAGCAGUGGGGAAGUAUUGGACAAUGGGGGAAACCCUGAUCCAGCAAUGCCGCGUGAGUGAUGAAGGCCUUAGGGUUGUAAAGCUCUUUUACCAGGGAUGAUAAUGACAGUACCUGGAGAAUAAGCUCCGGCUAACUCCGUGCCAGCAGCCGCGGUAAUACGGAGGGAGCUAGCGUUGUUCGGAAUUACUGGGGCGUAAAGCGCACGUAGGCGGUUACUCAAGUCAGAGGUGAAAGCCCGGGGCUCAACCCCGGAACUGCCUUUUGAAACUAGGUAACUAGAAUCCUGGAGAGGUGAGUGGAAUUCCGAGUGUAGAGGUGAAAUUCGUAGAUAUUCGGAAGAACACCAGUGGCGAAGGCGGCUCACUGGACAGGUAUUGACGCUGAGGUGCGAAAGCGUGGGGAGC
RNAcentral lists this ribosomal RNA (420 nucleotides) under uncultured bacterium. RNAcentral's name for it is "bacterial SSU rRNA". It matches the Rfam family "Bacterial small subunit ribosomal RNA", at positions 335 to 769 of the family's 1533-position model. The record is from RNAcentral.